GAGAGCCGUGUGCCGGGAAACUCGCAUGCACGGUUCGGAGGACAGGAAGCGGAAGCUGACUGAGUCCUAU
This is a non-coding RNA of Diaporthe ampelina, 70 nucleotides long. NCBI's taxonomy places the organism in Eukaryota, Fungi, Ascomycota, Sordariomycetes, Diaporthales, Diaporthaceae. The record is from Rfam.